RNAcentral lists this ribosomal RNA (93 nucleotides) under Bacillus anthracis (anthrax bacterium). RNAcentral also lists the same sequence under 48 other names. The record is from RNAcentral. Lineage: Bacteria; Bacillati; Bacillota; Bacilli; Caryophanales; Bacillaceae.
CACACCCGUUCCCAUACCGAACACGGAAGUUAAGCUCUCUAGCGCCGAUGGUAGUUGGGACCUUGUCCCUGUGAGAGUAGGACGUCGCCAAGC